GGUACCAACAGUAAUAUUUUGAAGGUGAACAUCUGAAAGCCUUAAACUGAAGAGCUGAUUCCUAUGAAGAAAUCUGUGUGCAUCAUCACAUGAAGUGCACUGGUGGCACAAAUGCAAGCCUUAAAAGUCUUGUUAACACAAAAUAACACUGGCGGAUUCAAGAUGCUGCAAUACAUUUUUAGGGCAGCCAAUUGGAUUCCAGGAACGCAAAGCAAUUCCAGGUCAUGUUGUAACCAUCAAUUUGCUGCCCCUUGACUACUCCCAAGUUUGGUCCUAGUCUCACCAUGUACAUCAAUAUGGGUGUAUGCUAUAACAUUAGGAUCUAUUAUUAGAAUAUGCACUAGAAUUUAUCCAAAAGCAAAGACAAGCUAACAUCAAGUGCUUCAGUUGGCUGAAGAAAGGGACCCCAUGCCAUGAGGCCAUGACUUGCUCUGUCAUAAGCCCGCUGUAUGAACCGCAAGAUAUGACCAGUAGUAGUGUGAUCCAGAUACUCAAGUCUGGAAUGAUUUUGUAGCAUUGCCACUGGACCUCAGACGCUUAUAUUCACAUAAAUCAGAAUGAAGCUGCAUUAACAAAUAAAUUUCAGAAAUGAGAAGCAAUAACAACAGUUUAAGAAAAGAAUACAUGUUACAUAUAGUAAUAUUUCCCUGCAGCCCAAUGGUACGAAUAAAUCAAAGUCGUUGUAUUUGGCAGUGAAGCUAAAAGAUAUAAAAUGCAAAUUAACUAUGAUGUCACUGCCAAAGAAGCAUAAAUAGCAAUCAAUGUCUAAUGAAAAAUCAGAACAGAAGGAAUUAUUUUCAGAAAGUAUAAAUCACCUACAUACAUUUUUUUUGCUACAUCAGUUGGCGAAGGCCCUCUUGCAUAUGUCAAAAAUAGUACUACUAUGUUUAGAAAAGCCGCUCACAACACAAAAAAUGACAUGACAAUCAGAAGAUCAUAGCAGGAAAUAUAACCCUGAUGAAGGGUUAGACCUCUAUUCCGAUUGCUCUUAAAAGCUUUGCAUGGUAAUAUGAUAUUUACAAAGGUUGCCUAGAUUUUAACAAGAAAAUGUUACUGCUGAUAUGCCAAAUUAAAAAUGGGACAAUCUGCUAGUGCUAAGUCAUAAAUAACCAGUAUUUCCUAUUUUUAUCAAGUAAACUGCAAAUCUAGCAUGAAGAGAAUUGACUGUUUAAAGGUGUACAACUAAUAGUCAUAAGAUUAAGUACACCAUUUUUCAUGGAUGAAUAUGGUACUCAAAGAAGAAUACUCGUUGAGAUAAAAUGCGUUCCAUGCCAAAAAAAAGAACAUCCGAAUCAUUACUGGGGCAAGAUGGGAACUAUAAAAGAACAUGCAUCACAUAUGAACAAGUGAAAACUCAUGGAAGUGACAUGCCUUCGAACUUGAGAUCCAUUCUCCAGCCUCAUUUUUGUACUAUUUAUGGAACUCCAGUUAUGCUUUCAUUGUAGACCGUGCAACUUCUUAGUAGGAUGUAAACAAAUAAAGCGAUUGAAUAUCAAAAGCAUGAAUGGACCACAAAUCAUGAAAAAUUAAAAUCGGAGGACCGACAUGUUCACAAGCUAUGGAAAAAUGUUCUUCACCAAAAUUUUACCGCAUCUUAUUUCUUUUUCUGUUUCUUUCAUAAAACUGCACAAUUGUGACCCCGCUUCUGCUUCUGCCUGCUUGUCCUCGAGUCACUCACAGGCGCCAAGAACUAAAUACUAAAACAAUCAAUGGUCGUCCCAAGGACCAAUAAGAUGUUAAAUUGUUGCAUGAUCGACACGCGCACAUGCAGAUGACCCAGAGCCAAUACACGAGGACGGGGAGAAGGAGAAACAAGAAGCACCUAGAGCUGAGCUUAAUUUAAUUAGCUGUUUGGUUCGUGUUUUCUGUCUCCAUAUGCAUCAUUGAUGUGUCUAUUGUAGCCUGCAAGAAAAGUCCACGAGAGCCUGCUUUCCCACACGCACACCUAAUGAACAAAGCCAGCCACACACGCACCAUUUGGCAUGGCCUCCUCCCAUCUGAACAAGUGACAACAAAACAUUUCCAGCAUCGUGAAAUCCAAUACAUUAGCAACAAGUACAUAAGCAACAACGUCGGUCGGGUAUAUGCAUAUUGUCGUAUGCAGUAAAGGUGCCAUGAUUAUUAGUUUAUUACCACCACACCAUUUUGUACGGUCUAGAACAUGUAUAUGGACUGAUUGUGAGGCUACAAAAAAAGGAGUACAAUGGGUCCUUGUACGCCAAAGUAUCUAUCUACAUACAUCUAAUUAAAUUCAGAUAUCCGGUGAAAUGUGUAAGGCUGAACCAAAAUGUAGAACAAAGGAGCUGCUCGAUCGAGUAUUUACCAAGCCCAAUUCAUACCAACAAUGUUUCAAUGGUUUGCAGUUCUGAAAUUGGUCACGACUAUCUUCGGUAAGGACGAGCACAUCUCAAAAUUAAUUGAAGAAAACUUGCACAACCAUUGGUACUAUGAGUAACUCUACUGAUUGUUUGCAGCCUCUGAGAUUAUCCUAAUAAAAUCUCACCCAAGCAAUCCGUUGAACUCGCAUAGAGAAGAACCGCCUUUUCAGUAAUGCUGCUGGCAGGGAAACUAAUACAGAAUUCAGUUGGCAUGCAUUUACUAAAAGUGAACUGUCUAACACAUGAAUUUUCUCAGUGGCGCAGCUCAUAGAGAAGCUAAUGCAGAAUUCAUUAUCCAGACUAAUUUUUCACAGUCAGUAUUUUGGUUAAUAGUCCCCAAAUUAAUUUGGCUGAAGCCAGCAACAUGGAUAUGUUUAGAUUGUACUAACAUUUAAUUACUGCCGAAAUAUCAAUUCAGUUAGAGGACAUGAUUAUAAAUAACACUAAAUAAGCAAUCUGCUCUUUAUAUGCGUUCCUGCAUGAUGGCCUAUUUAACAAUCGCCUCCCACCCAAAUUAAUCAGACUGUGCACAUGCAAAAGGAAAUUAUGAGAUAUAUAAUUGACAAGCAUCCUCACAAACAGAUCUGUGCAUCACCGAUUCACACAAUCAUAAAUAUACCCAUAAGCCCAAUUUAGCAAUCACAUAAGCAUGGAUGUCUCUAAUCCAACAACCACAUGUACUUAUGCCAAUAAUCUAACAAGAAAACAGCUUUUGCCUGCUCUAGGUGGACAUGGCAGGGGGGAGAGACAUGAGCAGCGCAACAUAUACCUGUUUCCUACGUGAGUAGCUCGGCGUCGUAAGCCAUGGCGAUGGAUCCACACCAUCUGCCACCCAUAGGUGGACAUGGCGUUGAUGUCGCCCAUUAGGCACUCAACUCGCCGCCGUCGUGCUCAUCGACGAGAGCCGCCUCCAUCAAAAGGAUGAGCCGAGAGGGGAGGAAGCGAAGGAGGGCGGGUGGAGGCGGCUCGCACGGUGAGGAGGCGACGAGUCAAGCGGGCGAGGCGGCAGCUGGUGGGAGGAGGCGACAGGGAGAGAAGGGAAUAGGAGAAGGGCGGCGAAACCCUAGCCGCCACUCGAGGAGGAGAAGACGCGAGAGAUGAGGAGACGAGCGAGUUUUACCUGGGGAGGUGUUAUCUGGACCCGUUUCCCUCUCUCUCUCUCUUUCUCGUUACGUGUAGCGAUCCGGUAAAAUGGACACGUGUACCAUGCCAAUGAGCGCUCUUACUGC
RNAcentral lists this long non-coding RNA (3607 nucleotides) under Triticum aestivum (bread wheat). Its description in RNAcentral is "long non-coding RNA (TAES_LNC024170)". The record is from RNAcentral. Lineage: Eukaryota; Viridiplantae; Streptophyta; Magnoliopsida; Poales; Poaceae.